RNAcentral lists this ribosomal RNA (430 nucleotides) under Pseudomonadota bacterium. Its description in RNAcentral is "Proteobacteria bacterium partial 16S ribosomal RNA". It matches the Rfam family "Bacterial small subunit ribosomal RNA", at positions 355 to 776 of the family's 1533-position model. The record is from RNAcentral. Lineage: Bacteria; Pseudomonadati; Pseudomonadota.
UGGGGAAUAUUGGACAAUGGGCGAAAGCCUGAUCCAGCCAUGCCGCGUGUGUGAAGAAGGUCUUCGGAUUGUAAAGCACUUUAAGCGAGGAGGAGGGUACUGGUAUUAAUACUACCAGCUACUGGACGUUACUCGCAGAAUAAGCACCGGCUAACUCUGUGCCAGCAGCCGCGGUAAUACAGAGGGUGCGAGCGUUAAUCGGAUUUACUGGGCGUAAAGCGUGCGUAGGCGGCUAAUUGAGUCGGAUGUGAAAUCCCCGAGCUUAACUUGGGAAUUGCAUUCGAUACUGGUUAGCUAGAGUGUGGGAGAGGAUGGUAGAAUUCCAGGUGUAGCGGUGAAAUGCGUAGAGAUCUGGAGGAAUACCGAUGGCGAAGGCAGCCAUCUGGCCUAACACUGACGCUGAGGUACGAAAGCGUGGGGAGCAAACAGG